Molecule: ribosomal RNA, 497 nt
Filed under: uncultured bacterium
Lineage: Bacteria
Description: partial 16S ribosomal RNA
Rfam family: Bacterial small subunit ribosomal RNA
Source: RNAcentral
GAUGAACGCUGGCGGCGUGCCUAAUACAUGCAAGUCGAGCGAACGGACCAGAAGCUUGCUUCUCUGAUGUUAGCGGCGGACGGGUGAGUAACCCGUGGAUAACCUACCUAUAAGACUGGGAUAACUUCGGGAAACCGUAGCUAAUACCGGAUAAUAUUUUGAACCGCAUGGUUCAAACGUGAAAGACGGUAUUGCUGUCACUUAUAGAUGGAUCCGCGCUGCAUUAGCUAGUUGGUAAGGUAACGGCGUACUAAGGCAACGAUGCAUAGCCGACAUGUCAGGGUGAUCGGCCACACUGGAAGUGAGACACGGUCCAGACGCCUACGGGAGGCAGCAGUAGGGAAUCGGCCGCAAGGGGCGAAAACCUGACGGAGCAGCGCCGCGUGAGUGAUGAAGGUCUUCGGGUCGGAAAACUCGGUUAUUAGGGAAGAACAUAUGUGUAAGUAACUGUGCACAUCUUGACGGGACCUGAUCAGAAAGCCACGGCUAACUACGUG